RNAcentral lists this ribosomal RNA (314 nucleotides) under Selenidera maculirostris. Its description in RNAcentral is "partial 12S ribosomal RNA". It matches the Rfam family "Bacterial small subunit ribosomal RNA", at positions 870 to 1341 of the family's 1533-position model. The record is from RNAcentral. Lineage: Eukaryota; Metazoa; Chordata; Aves; Piciformes; Ramphastidae.
CGCCUGGGAACUACGAGCACAAACGCUUAAAACCCUAAGGACUUGGCGGUGUCCCAAAACCCCCUAGAGGAGCCUGUUCUGUAAUCGAUAACCCACGCUACACCUCACCCCUCCUUGCCCAAGCAGCCUACAUACCGCCGUCGCCAGCCCACCUUAUAUGAAAGCACAACAGUGGGCACAAUAAUUUUUUCCCCAUUAACAAGACAGGUCAAGGUAUAGCCCAUGGAGGGGAAAGAAAUGGGCUACAUUUUCUAANAUAGACAAUACACGAAAGAGGACCUGAAACAGCCCUCAGAAGGAGGAUUUAGCAGUAU